UAAUACGAAGGGUGCAAGCGUUACUCGGAAUUACUGGGCGUAAAGGGUGCGUAGGUGGUCGUUUAAGUCCGUUGUGAAAUCCCUGGGCUCAACCUGGGAAUGGCAGUGGAUACUGGACGGCUAGAAUGCGGUAGAGGGUAGUGGAAUUCCCGGUGUAGCAGUGAAAUGCGUAGAGAUCGGGAGGAACACCAGUGGCGAAGGCGGCUACCUGGACCAGCAUUGACACUCAAGCACGAAAGCGUGGGGAGCAAACAGGAUUAGAUACCCUGGUAGUCCACGCCCUAAACGAUGCGAACUGGACGUUGGGAGCAACUUGGCUCUCAGUGUCGAAGCUAACGCGUUAAGUUCGCCGCCUGGGGAGUACGGUCGCAAGACUG
Molecule: ribosomal RNA, 377 nt
Filed under: uncultured bacterium
Lineage: Bacteria
Description: bacterial SSU rRNA
Rfam family: Bacterial small subunit ribosomal RNA
Source: RNAcentral